GCAGAAAAUCAGACACAGUAACUAGCAGCCAAGCCAGCUGCUAACUCAAGUGAAAAUGCAAGCCAGCUAGCAAGAGCUGAACAUUGCAGCAAGAGAGCAUUAUUUUACUCCUCUUGAAACAUUUUUGGAGGUGUAAAUCAGUGAAUUCUAUUCUACCCCACUUUAAAGCUGAAAAAAGGAACUACAGAGGAAUCCUCAGU
RNAcentral lists this long non-coding RNA (200 nucleotides) under Zonotrichia albicollis (white-throated sparrow). Its description in RNAcentral is "lncRNA (ENSZALG00000000006.1)". The record is from RNAcentral. Lineage: Eukaryota; Metazoa; Chordata; Aves; Passeriformes; Passerellidae.